GCCAGGCAUGGUGGCUCAUGCCUGUAAUCCCAGCACUAUGGGAGGCUGAGGUGGGUGGAUCACCUGAGGUCAGGAGUUCAAGACCAGCCUGACCAACAUGGUGAAACCUUAUCUCUA
Unclassified non-coding RNA from Callithrix jacchus (white-tufted-ear marmoset), 117 nucleotides. It matches the Rfam family "Metazoan signal recognition particle RNA". From Rfam's summary of the family: The signal recognition particle (SRP) is a universally conserved ribonucleoprotein. It is involved in the co-translational targeting of proteins to membranes. The eukaryotic SRP consists of a 300-nucleotide 7S RNA and six proteins: SRPs 72, 68, 54, 19, 14, and 9. The record is from Ensembl. Lineage: Eukaryota; Metazoa; Chordata; Mammalia; Primates; Cebidae.